CUCAUGUCGGUUAGAUGCAAUUUUAGAUAAUUAAAAACACCUGCUUUUUCAUACUUGCUUUACCUUUGAUUACUGCUAUCUACUUUAUUUUAAUUUUUAAUAUGAAUAAAAGCACUUAAGUAAUAGAAAAGUGAAAAUAGCCAAAUGGUACAACAAGAAUUAAAAAAUUAUAGACAUUCAUCAAUGAACACGUAUGAGGUACUUGAAAGAAUAAAAUCAAAACAACCACAAGAAAAAGAAUUGCUGACCACAUACAACUUUAAAAAUAUGUAUCCAUCACUAAAAAUCGAGCCUACUUGCUUAGUAUUCUACAGAUUCCUACUAAAACAUAUACCCAAUGCAACAUCAAUAGCAGAAGUCCUUAGAGAAAACGUAUCCACUAUGCCACAACUUCUAUUUUUCCUUC
This 406-nucleotide long non-coding RNA is filed under the name Androctonus crassicauda. The record is from RNAcentral. Lineage: Eukaryota; Metazoa; Arthropoda; Arachnida; Scorpiones; Buthidae.